This 440-nucleotide ribosomal RNA is filed under the name uncultured bacterium. Its description in RNAcentral is "bacterial SSU rRNA". It matches the Rfam family "Bacterial small subunit ribosomal RNA", at positions 338 to 795 of the family's 1533-position model. The record is from RNAcentral.
CCUACGGGAGGCUGCAGUGGGGAAUCUUAGACAAUGGGCGCAAGCCUGAUCUAGCCAUGCCGCGUGAGCGAUGAAGGCCUUAGGGUUGUAAAGCUCUUUCGGGGGGGAAGAUAAUGACUGUACCCCCAGAAGAAGCCCCGGCUAACUCCGUGCCAGCAGCCGCGGUAAUACGGAGGGGGCUAGCGUUGUUCGGAAUUACUGGGCGUAAAGCGCACGUAGGCGGACGGAGAAGUCAGAGGUGAAAUCCCAGGGCUCAACCUUGGAACUGCCUUUGAAACUUUCUGUCUUGAGGUCGUGAGAGGUGAGUGGAAUUCCGAGUGUAGAGGUGAAAUUCGUAGAUAUUCGGAGGAACACCAGUGGCGAAGGCGGCUCACUGGCACGAUACUGACGCUGAGGUGCGAAAGCGUGGGGAGCAAACAGGAUUAGAUACCCCAGUAGUC